UAAUACGUAGGGGGCAAGCGUUGUCCGGACUUACUGGGCGUAAAGCGCGCGCAGGCGGACCUGUAUGUGCCGUGUGAAAGCGCCGGACUUACUUCGGCGAGGUCAUGGUAGACAGCAGGUCUUGAGCCUCGGAGAGGUCGGUGGAAUUCCGGGUGGAGCGGUGAAAUGCGUAGAGAUCCGGAGGAACACCAGGGGCGAAAGCGGCCGACUGGCCGAGUGCUGACGCUGAGGCGCGACGGCGUGGGGAGCAAACCGGAUUAGAUACCCGGGUAGUCCACGCAGUAAACGAUGCAUACCCGGUGUCGGUGUACGAUAACUUCGUGCAGCGGUGCCCAAGGUUACCUGAUGAGUAUGCCGCCUGGGGACUACGAGCGCAAGCUUA
Molecule: ribosomal RNA, 382 nt
Filed under: uncultured bacterium
Lineage: Bacteria
Description: bacterial SSU rRNA
Rfam family: Bacterial small subunit ribosomal RNA
Source: RNAcentral